Molecule: ribosomal RNA, 465 nt
Filed under: uncultured bacterium
Lineage: Bacteria
Description: SSU rRNA
Rfam family: Bacterial small subunit ribosomal RNA
Source: RNAcentral
AGGACUAACGCUGGCGGCGUGCCUAACACAUGCAAGUCGAACGGGGUAGCAAUACCCAGUGGCAGACGGGUGAGUAACACGUGGUCAACCUACCUCUGUGUGGGGGAUAACUAGCCGAAAGGUUAGCUAAUACCGCAUACGAUCGUUUUGAGGCAUCUCGAGACGAUGAAAGGAGCAAUCCGCACGGAGAGGGGACUGCGUCCCAUUAGUUAGUUGGUGGGGUAACGGCCUACCAAGACUCCGAUGGGUAGCUGGCUUGAGAGAGCGACCAGCCGCACUGGAACUGAGAAACGGUCCAGACUCCUACGGGAGGCAGCAGUGAGGAAUUUUCCGCAAUGGGCGAAAGCCUGACGGAGCGACGCCGCGUGUGGGGUGAAGGCCUUCGGGUCGUAAACCACUGUCGAAGGGGACGAUAAUGACGGUACCCUUGGAGGAAGCCCCGGCUAACUACGCGCCAGCAGCCGC